GAUAAACGCUGGCGGCGCACAUAAGACAUGCAAGUCGAACGGACUUAACUCGAAGUUUACUUUGAGAGCGGUUAGUGGCGGACUGGUGAGUAACACGUAAGCAACCUGCCUAUCAGAGGGGAAUAACAGUGAGAAAUCAUUGCUAAUACCGCAUAUGCUCACAGUAUCACAUGAUACAGUGAGGAAAGGAGUAAUCCACUGAUAGAUGGGCUUGCGUCUGAUUAGCUGGUUGGCGGGGUAACGGCCCACCAAGGCGACGAUCAGUAGCCGGUCUGAGAGGAUGAACGGCCACAUUGGGACUGAGAUACGGCCCAG
This 315-nucleotide ribosomal RNA is filed under the name uncultured bacterium. RNAcentral describes it as "bacterial SSU rRNA". It matches the Rfam family "Bacterial small subunit ribosomal RNA", at positions 28 to 334 of the family's 1533-position model. The record is from RNAcentral.